Molecule: non-coding RNA, 74 nt
Organism: Cololabis saira (Pacific saury)
Lineage: Eukaryota; Metazoa; Chordata; Actinopteri; Beloniformes; Belonidae
Source: the annotation of a RefSeq genome assembly
GCUCCAGUGGCGCAAUCGGUCAGCGCACGGUACUUAUAAUGCCGAGGUUGUGAGUUCAAGCCUCACCUGGAGCA